RNAcentral lists this ribosomal RNA (876 nucleotides) under uncultured crenarchaeote. RNAcentral's name for it is "bacterial SSU rRNA". It matches the Rfam family "Archaeal small subunit ribosomal RNA", at positions 21 to 903 of the family's 1478-position model. The record is from RNAcentral. Lineage: Archaea; Thermoproteati; Thermoproteota.
ACCUGACUGCUAUCGGAUUGAUACUAAGCCAUGCGAGUCAUUGUAGCAAUACAAGGCAUACGGCUCAGUAACGCGUAGUCAACCUAACCUAUGGACGGGAAUAACCUCGGGAAACUGAGAAUAAUGCCCGAUAGAACACUAUACCUGGAAUGGUUUGUGUUCCAAAUGAUUUAUCGCCAUAGGAUGGGACUGCGGCCUAUCAGUUUGUUGGUGAGGUAAUGGCCCACCAAGACUAUUACAGGUACGGGCUCUGAGAGGAGUAGCCCGGAGAUGGGUACUGAGACACGGACCCAGGCCCUAUGGGGCGCAGCAGGCGAGAAAACUUUGCAAUGUGCGAAAGCACGACAAGGUUAAUCCGAGUGAUUUGUGCUAAACGAAUCUUUUGUUAGUCCUAGAAACACUAACGAAUAAGGGGUGGGCAAGUUCUGGUGUCAGCCGCCGCGGUAAAACCAGCACCUCAAGUGGUCAGGAUGAUUAUUGGGCCUAAAGCAUCCGUAGCCGGCUCUGUAAGUUUUCGGUUAAAUCUGUACGCUUAACGUACAGGCUGCCGGGAAUACUGCAAAGCUAGGGAGCGGGAGAGGUAGACGGUACUCGGUAGGAAGUGGUAAAAUGCUUUGAUCUAUCGAUGACCACCUGUGGCGAAGGCGGUCUACCAGAACACGUCCGACGGUGAGGGAUGAAAGCUGGGGGAGCAAACCGGAUUAGAUACCCGGGUAGUCCCAGCUGUAAACUAUGCAAACUCAGUGAUGCAUUGGCUUGUGGCCAAUGCAGUGCUGCAGGGNNGCCGUUAAGUUUGCCGCCUGNNNAGUACGUACGCAAGUAUGAAACUUAAAGGAAUUGGCGGGGGAGCACCACAAGGGGUGAAGCCUGCGGUUC